RNAcentral lists this ribosomal RNA (643 nucleotides) under uncultured fungus. Its description in RNAcentral is "eukaryotic LSU rRNA". The stretch from base 231 to 385 matches the Rfam family "5.8S ribosomal RNA". Lineage: Eukaryota; Fungi. The record is from RNAcentral.
UCUUGGUCAUUUAGAGGAGUAAAAGUCGUAACAAGGUUUCCGUAGGUGAACCUGCGGAAGGAUCAUUAUUGAAUUACGGGCGAGGGUUGUCGCUGGCCUCUCGGGGCAUGUGCACGCCCGAGCCAUCCCCAACAAACGCCGUGGGCCUUCGGGCCCGCGUAUAUUUACCCUGAAUGUGUAUAGAAUGUAAACCAUUUGUUUGCCCUGAAAAAGCAAACGAAAAAUAGUACAACUUUCAACAACGGAUCUCUUGGCUCUCGCAUCGAUGAAGAACGCAGCGAAAUGCGAUAAGUAAUGUGAAUUGCAGAUUUUCAGUGAAUCAUCGAAUCUUUGAACGCGCCUUGCGCCCCUUGGUAUUCCGAGGGGCAUGCCUGUUUGAGUGUCAUUAAAUCCUCAACCGCGCCGAUUGAUUUUCGGUGGGGCUUGGACUUUGGAGCGUGCUGGCGAAGGUCGGCUCCUCUUUAAAUGCAUCAGCGGAAGAAACCUUUGUCUUUCCCGCCUUCGGUGUGAUAAUUGUGUUGCGCCGUGGUGGAACUUCAACGAUCCGCUUACAAUGGUCUUCGGACGAAACCUCAUGUCAUCUUGACCUCAAAUCAGGUAGGACUACCCGCUGAACUUAAGCAUAUCAAUAAGCGGAGGAAAG